Long non-coding RNA from Notothenia coriiceps (black rockcod), 173 nucleotides. RefSeq lists it as uncharacterized. The record is from RefSeq and is a predicted model, not a curated record. The transcript is spliced from 4 exons. Lineage: Eukaryota; Metazoa; Chordata; Actinopteri; Perciformes; Nototheniidae.
GAGAGAGAUGAACCACUCCAGAGUUCACUAGCAAGCGGUCCGAGACCACCUCUUUUAGGCAGACCAGAGUCCAGUUGUUUAGUUCACAUCAGAGGUCUCGGACUGCGUUCACAACGACCCAAACGACCGCACCAAGCGGUUAAACGCACCAGGGAUCGAUUCAACCGGACUAA